CAUGACGGCCAUAGCUGCGGGGAAACUCCUGGUCUCAUCCCGAACCCAGAAGAUAAGCCCGCACACGUUCCAUGUGGUACUAAAGUGCGCGAGCCUUUGGGAAGCACGGAUCGCUGUCAUGA
RNAcentral lists this ribosomal RNA (122 nucleotides) under Methanosarcinales archaeon. Lineage: Archaea; Methanobacteriati; Methanobacteriota; Methanomicrobia; Methanosarcinales. The record is from RNAcentral.